ACACUUUUUAGCAGCACGUUCUCCACAUUCGGCACAUGUUGGUGCAGUACCAGCGAGUUUCUCAAGUGUUUCUGGAUCGUAGGCAGAACUAAGCCUACAGAAAAAUUUCAUUAGGCUACAUUUGGUGUUGCUGUUACAUUCGGUGACAGAAGUUGCCACUACAUUUGGUGUCAGAAUAGCAGACGUUGUCUGUCCAGUACAACGUUCGAGCUCACCGCCCGCAUUACAUUCACAAGAUGUGGAUCAUUAUCCACAACGAAAACACUAUGUGGUGCCUCAACCAUCUAUUGCCGGAGCCAGCUCUUGCAUCAGCAGAGCAGAGCUCUGAUAUGGCACUAACUUUGGCUGGCAGCUCCCUCUGUACAGUAGUUUGUGUACGUGCUCUCCAGUGUGUCACAUCAGCAAUAAAGUAUAUAUUAUCUGCA
Molecule: long non-coding RNA, 425 nt
Organism: Schistocerca gregaria
Lineage: Eukaryota; Metazoa; Arthropoda; Insecta; Orthoptera; Acrididae
Exons: 3
Source: RefSeq, a predicted model, not a curated record